RNAcentral lists this ribosomal RNA (501 nucleotides) under uncultured bacterium. RNAcentral describes it as "partial 16S ribosomal RNA". It matches the Rfam family "Bacterial small subunit ribosomal RNA", at positions 28 to 523 of the family's 1533-position model. The record is from RNAcentral.
GAUGAACGCUAGCGGCAGGCUUAAUACAUGCAAGUCGAGGGGCAGCGCAGUGUAGCAAUACAUGGGCGGCGACCGGCAAACGGGUGCGGAACACGUACGCAACCUUCCUUUAAGUGGGGGAUAGCCCAGGGAAACUUGGAUUAGUACCCCGUAAUAUUAUGAAGUGGCAUCACUUUAUACUUAUAGCUCCGGCGCUUAAAGAUGGGCGUGCGACUGAUUAGGUAGUUGGCGGGGUAACGGCCCACCAAGCCUGCGAUCAGUAACUGGUGUGGGAUCACGACCAGUCACACGGGCACUGGGACACGGGCCCGACUCCUACGGGAGGCAGCAGUAAGGAAUAUUGGUCAAUGACGCAAGUCUGAACCAGCCAUGCCGCGUGGAGGAUGAAGGUCCUCUGGAUUGUAAACUUCUUUUAUUUGGGAAGAAACCCACUGUUUCUACGGUGGUUGACGGUACCAGAUGAAUAAGCACCGGCUAACUCCGUGCCAGCCGCCGCAGUAA